CCUUGACAGUUACAUGGUGUAGCUGACAGUAGCCAAGACAAGGAGAUUAACAUG
Molecule: non-coding RNA, 54 nt
Filed under: unclassified sequences
Description: Mu-gpT-DE RNA
Rfam family: Mu-gpT-DE RNA
Source: Rfam by way of RNAcentral